Molecule: ribosomal RNA, 392 nt
Filed under: uncultured eukaryote
Lineage: Eukaryota
Description: partial 18S ribosomal RNA
Rfam family: Eukaryotic small subunit ribosomal RNA
Source: RNAcentral
CAAUAGCGUAUACUAAAGUUGUUGCGAUUAAAAAGCUCGUAGUUGGAUCUCAGGCAUGGGCGCACGGUCCGCCUCGCGGCGGUCACUGUGUGUUUUGUUUCCCAUCCUACGCUUCCCGGUUAUCAGCCCAUGGUGCUCUUCACUGAGCGAUUUGGGUGGCCGGAACGUUUACUUUGAAGAAAUUAGAGUGUUCAAAGCAGGCACGUUGCCUGAAUAAUGGUGCAUGGAAUAAUGGAAUAGGACCUCGGUUCUAUUUUGCUGGUUUUCGGAACACGAGGUAAUGAUUAAGAGGGACAGACGGGGGCAUCCGUAUUGCGGUGUUAGAGGUGAAAUUCUUGGAUCAUCGCAAGACGAACAACUGCGAAAGCAUUUGCCAAGCAUGUUUUCAUUAG